This 915-nucleotide ribosomal RNA is filed under the name uncultured Pseudomonadota bacterium. Its description in RNAcentral is "bacterial SSU rRNA". It matches the Rfam family "Bacterial small subunit ribosomal RNA", at positions 8 to 916 of the family's 1533-position model. Lineage: Bacteria; Pseudomonadati; Pseudomonadota. The record is from RNAcentral.
AGAGUUUGAUCCUGGCUCAGAUUGAACGCUGGCGGCGUGCCUAACACAUGCAAGUCGAGCGGUAACAGGUGUAGCAAUACAUGCUGACGAGCGGCGAACGGGUGAGUAAUGCUUUGGAAUCUUCCCAGUAGUGGGGAAUAACCAGUCGAAAGAUUGGCUAAUACCGCAUACGUCUGUAAAGGGAAAGCGGGGGCUCGUAAGACCUCGCGCUAUUGGAUGAGCCAAAGUCGGAUUAGCUAGUUGGUGGGGUAAUGGCCUACCAGGGCGACAAUCCGUAGCUGGUCUGAGAGGACGACCAGCCACACCGGAACUGAGACACGGUCCGGACUCCUACGGGAGGCAGCAGUGGGGAAUAUUGGACAAUGGGGGAAACCCUGAUCCAGCGACGCCGCGUGUGUGAAGAAGGCCUGCGGGUUGUAAAGCACUUUUAGUGGGGACAAAAAGCUACGGAUUAAUACUCUGUGGUCUUGAUUUAACCCAAAGAAGAAGCACCGGCUAACUCUGUGCCAGCAGCCGCGGUAAUACAGAGGGUGCGAGCGUUAAUCGGAAUUACUGGGCGUAAAGCGCGCGUAGACGGUUUUGUAAGUCAGAUGUGAAAUCCCUGGGCUCAACCUGGGAACUGCAUUUGAGACUGCAUGGCUAGAGUAUCGAAGAGGGAAGUGGAAUUUCCGGUGUAGCGGUGAAAUGCGUAGAUAUCGGAAGGAACACCAGUGGCGAAAGCGACUUCCUGGUCGAAUACUGACGUUCAUGUGCGAAAGCGUGGGGAGCAAACAGGAUUAGAUACCCUGGUAGUCCACGCCAUAAACGAUGACAACUAGAUGUUGGGAGGGUCUGCCUCUCGGUGUCGCAGCUAACGCGUUAAGUUGUCCGCCUGGGGAGUACGGCCGCAAGGUUGAAACUUAAAGGAAUUGACGG